CCUACGGGAGGCAGCAGUGGGGAAUUUUGGACAAUGGGGGCAACCCUGAUCCAGCCAUGCCGCGUGCGGGAAGAAGGCCUUCGGGUUGUAAACCGCUUUUGGUCGGGAAGAAAGGUUUCUCUUGAAUACGGAGGGACUGUGACGGUACCGGCAGAAUAAGCACCGGCUAACUACGUGCCAGCAGCCGCGGUAAUACGUAGGGUGCGAGCGUUAAUCGGAAUUACUGGGCGUAAAGAGUGCGUAGGCGGUUCGUUAUGUCUGUGGUGAAAGCCCUGGGCUCAACCUAGGAAUGGCCAUGGAAACUGGCGGGCUGGAGUAUGGCAGAGGGGGGUGGAAUUCCGCGUGUAGCAGUGAAAUGCGUAGAGAUGCGGAGGAACACCGAUGGCGAAGGCAGCCCCCUGGGCUACUACUGACGCUGAGGCACGAAAGCGUGGGGAGCAAACAGGAUUAGAUACCCUGGUAGUCCACGCCCUAAACGAUAGAUCACUAGGUGUUAGGGGAAGUGAUUCCGUUGGUACCGCAGCUAACGCGUGAAGUGAUCCGCGUGGGGAGUACGGCCGCGAAGGUUAAACNGAAAGGUAGUUGACGGCUGAGAGUGCGAGGCGACGACGAGGGAGAGG
Molecule: ribosomal RNA, 620 nt
Filed under: uncultured bacterium
Lineage: Bacteria
Description: bacterial SSU rRNA
Rfam family: Bacterial small subunit ribosomal RNA
Source: RNAcentral